Molecule: unclassified non-coding RNA, 250 nt
Filed under: Ascomycota sp.
Lineage: Eukaryota; Fungi; Ascomycota
Description: partial contains 5.8S ribosomal RNA, internal transcribed spacer 2, and large subunit ribosomal RNA
Source: RNAcentral
CGCACAUUGCGCCCACUAGUAUUCUGGUGGGCAUGCCUGUUCGAGCGUCAUUAACUCCCCUCAAGCCCUAUUGCUUGGUAUUGGGAGACUACAGCCUCGCUGUAGCUCCUCAAAGUCAGCGGCGGAGUCGUGUCAUCCUCUGAGCUUAGUAAUUACUUUCUAGCUUGCGAGUGAGGCGCGUCCCCUGCCGUAAAACACCCAACUUCUUUAGUUUGACCUCGGAUCAGGUAGGAAUACCCGCUGAACUUAA